Molecule: unclassified non-coding RNA, 315 nt
Filed under: plant metagenome
Description: partial contains 5.8S ribosomal RNA, internal transcribed spacer 2, and large subunit ribosomal RNA
Rfam family: 5.8S ribosomal RNA (bases 1-105)
Source: RNAcentral
AAAAUGCGAUAAGUAAUGUGAAUUGCAGAAUUCAGUGAAUCAUCGAAUCUUUGAACGCACAUUGCGCCCGCCAGUAUUCUGGCGGGCAUGCCUGUUCGAGCGUCAUUUCAACCCUCAAGCCCCCGGGUUUGGUGUUGGGGAUCGGGCUACGGUUCUACCGCGUCCCGGCCCCGAAAUCUAGUGGCGGUCUCGCUGCAGCCUCCAUUGCGUAGUAGCUAACACCUCGCAACUGGAACGCGGCGCGGCCAAGCCGUUAAACCCCCAACUUCUGAAUGUUGACCUCGGAUCAGGUAGGAAUACCCGCUGAACUUAAGC